RNA transcript from Olea europaea var. sylvestris, 4751 nucleotides. RefSeq lists it as uncharacterized. Lineage: Eukaryota; Viridiplantae; Streptophyta; Magnoliopsida; Lamiales; Oleaceae. The transcript is spliced from 5 exons. The record is from RefSeq and is a predicted model, not a curated record.
AUAAUGCAGGUUAGACCAGAGGAAGAGCGGAUUGCUAAUUUUCAAGACCAGCUUCUUCCCCUUAUCAUUGGAUUGCUUAGAACGGGAAAGCUACGUGCUGUGUUGAGAAUAUAACUUGAUACACUUGCUUCUGAAAUAAACUUCAGUCAAACUGGCAGUUGAGAAUAUGCAUUUGGAGUCGGAUUCUGUUUCUGGAGAUUGUGAGAUCACUUGCAUAUUGACCCUUCAUGAAAGUUUGAUUUCAGAUGAAAUAGCAUGUACACGCCUAAAGUGACAUCCACUAUCUUCUUUCGCUUUUGAUAAGCAUUUUAAAUUUCAUUAUUGGGAGUCGGUGUAUCCACUACAUAAGCCAACCAGCUUUGCUAGAAGUUCUUAGCUGUAAACUCUACCUUUUUGUUCUGAAUCUUCUGAUUACAUGCUAAAUAAUGAUUCAGGUGGAUGCUUACCACUAGGAACUAAGUUGAAAAGUCUGUCACCCGACGGCUUUUUUAAACUUUUGGAGGAAGUGUUCAUGAUUUUACAGGAGCUAAUAUUUUAAGAGAGAAUGCAGAAGCUCUAUUUGCAGCCUGUGAUGCUUCUUAUGGAAGAUGAUCAAAAAUUGUUGGAAUCUGUUCUAAAAUUCAUCCGAAAUUGAGGCUGCAGGAUUUUCUAAUUGUGUAUAACAUCAGUCAAGAAUUUAUAAGUUCAACAGAGAAGAUGGCAAAGAUGAAGGCUUUACUUGACCAAGAAAAUUGGAAUGAGAUAGAUGUGCCAGAUGAGUUUCAGACCAUUGUCACUUCAUUGUCUUCAGAUUCCAUGUCUGAUGGACGUAGAGAUGAAGCUCCUGGGACAUCUAACAGUUGAACAAUAUGAAGCAGUGAUGAUUACCUCGUGGCUGAUGCUGGACUUUCAAAUUUAUCUUAACACAUUGACUGCUUGAUUAUAACGGAAUGUCACCAGCUCAUGCACCAAACCCUGAUUCUUCGUACCUGAGUGGGGCAUCUGAGAGUGGUAAUAGUGAUGUUGGAACUUCUGGAACUUCUUGCAUUCACAGUAAUAACACUGAUAUGAGAGAACGAGGAAAAUCUUCCCUCCGAGUUCUUUAUUUUAAAGGUGUUGGAUAUCACUUGGUAAACUGAGCAUCCGAAGAGUCUCGGUAUCGACAUGUAUCCGACACGUGUCGGACGCGCUACCCUAAUUAGAGUAUCCGUGCUACAUAGCCUUGGUCACAUAAUCUGCUGGAAGAGUGCACUGCGCUACAUGUGGUAUUUCAAUCCUGCACUAACUCGCCUUAAAAAAAAAAAAAAAAAACUGCAUUAACUCAGCAUUAAGCAUUUUUCAAAAAUCAUUGAAUGCUUACCUUGGAAAUGUCUUGGAUGAUUAUUCUCGAAGCUUUUUCUAUUUUACUUUAUCUAGAUCUUAUUUGCUUGUUAAAUUAUACUAUAUGACUAAUAGCCUUAAGUGUACAAGCUGUUGUAAACUUUGAGGCACUUUGUUUUUGGUCUAUGAAUCCUUUUCCAUUUCAGUGAAAACAUGCAUGCAUUCAAGAAGCUGAAAAACAAAAUCUCAGACCUUAAAGAGAAAAGAGAUGAAAGAGUGCAGAAUUGUUUGUUAGCUUCUCAUUGCCUCAUUUAUCAACCUGGUUGCUUCCAAGUGAAACAAGCUUUUUUUUUUAUAAUAGUCUUUUUGUCUGAACUUCAAUUCCCAUUUUAGGAAACUCCUCCUUUAACUAUGGGUAUCUAUCGCAACUUUAAAUUCUUCCAAUUCACAAAGAGAAGCAAAAUAAGACAGUUUUUGUUAUGAAAUUACAUGGCAGAUAUUUCAAAUGAAAAAAUUUUAGUACUUGAAUGGUUAUUAGGACAAACUUAUGAGCAAACAUAUUCAUCUACCCAACAACUUCUAUUGAAUUAAAAUAUACAUUUCUCUCGUUAAUUCUUCACAUCAAACAUGCUAACAUUUGUUUGGUUGCUUGUACCGUACAAAAGUUGUUUGUUCGAGAGAGAACAAGAAAAACCUCUUCUGAUAAACCAAGGUUAGUAUCGUUUUAUCCUCCUUUUCAAGAUUUUGUUUUUUUGUUUUUUUUUGUUUUUGCUAUUUGUCCUCCUAUAUUCUCCAUUCACAAACUAUAAUCUUCUUCAAAAAAAUAGUUAUUUAUUUGUAUGAUAUGUAUAAAAAAAUGAUGACUCCUCUUAUAUAUUACUAUUAUGGAACUUAGCAAUAAGGCUACUUUAACAGUUCUUUGUCAAUGACAUUUGCAUUUUCCUUUUGUUGCCUUCCUUAUUCAAGAUUCAUAAUUCAAGAGAUUCCACAAGCUUUAAAAUAAGUUGUCUAUGCAAAUUAUUUAUUUCUAAAAAAGAUCUUUAAUCAUGUAGAAGAUAUCAUUUGUGGAAAACAAUGGAUAUUUGCCAUUAUCAUAGAUGACAUAAAAGUUGUCAAACAUAGCAGGAAUAAGAGCCCUUCAAAUUUUAUGCUGUAUUUGCAAAUCAUCUUGGUGAAACUUCACUUGUCAAAUUUCUUUUCUUUCAGCUUCCUGCUUACUCCAUGCUAUAGAUUUGUCUGUAUUGUCAAUUCUGUUGUUAAAUUGGAAAUUCGUAGCUCAGACCAGUACUUACCACCAUACCUCUGCCAUUGCCAACAAAUUACAAUCCCCAAUCCACAUCUGCAUUGUUACAGCAGGAAAAUCAUAAAGCAAGAAUACUGAAAUUCUUCAAGAGUUCAAUGUAUGUUGUUAAAAAAAGGGACAUAUCUCACUUAAAUAAAAGAAAAAAAAAUUGCUUUCCACCCACUUUCCAUCCUUUAAAGCCUUCAUCUUCAGUCAACAAGAAAAAGUUAAUUCCCCAAAACCUUUCCACUCUCCAUUUUCCAUUCCAUGCAGUUUCUCUCAUGCCAUAGCCUAAGCAAAUAUGCAGAUUGAUUCUAGAUCAUUACUUAACAGCUAUAAGUCAAGGCACAGGUCCAAAUACAAAGCUACUUUCAUAAUUCAAAUUCACAUAUAAUGAAAAUAUAAUUUGAUCUAGAGAUAGCACAUCAAUGUCUCAAUAAAAACCAGACUAUUGCUCAAAUAGAAUGAUAGUUUGUAGGAUAGAAUGUGAGUGGAAGUAAAUCUCCUCUAGAUGAUCACCUUUUAAUUCAAAGAUAGUCCAUCAAAUGCAGAUCCGAGGUCUUCUUUCUCAACUCUUUUGUGUAUUUAUACUAGGGAAGCAUGUUGGGUUCAAAAUGGUAACCUUAUUUGGUGUUGCUGAAUGCUUUUUAUAUGCAUUAUUUGUGGUUUCUUAUAAAUGUAGUCCAAUGAUUACUACUACUAUUCCUUCUCUGCAAUCAAAAAUCUACUGCUACAAAUACAUUGAACAAGAUUACUGCUACAAAUACAUUGAACAAGAUAGUUAUACGAUAUCAAGUUGUGUACUGUGGUCAACUAGAUAAAGAUGCUGUUUUGAACAACUGUAGCAAUGUCAUAAGCUCUAUUGAGAAAAUAGAAAAUGAUAUUGGAAAUGACUACAGAAGAGGUAUAUUUUUCUCCAGUUUCACCGUCUCAUUGUGAUAUGCUAAUUUGUUGUGUAUCAUAUCGAAUCACGUUGCAUUUAUGCUUGUGAAAUGUUGCUUGCAUUUUUCUUUUUAAGGAUACGAAAGUAAUACACCUGGCAGACAUUUUUUUAACUACUGCUGUUACCUUGCUUACCAUGGAAUAUUAGUAACUAGAGUCCAACUUCGUAUAGAUCUAUGUGAAGUCAAUAAAGAAGCUCUUGAGAAUUUUGGAAAGGGUAAGUAAACAAAUUCCUCGCUCUAUAUGUUCCCUACAUUUAUUUAUGAGAAGCUAAAAUAUAGCUGAAAUUAUGCCAACAAUUACAUUGAAAAAUAAGAUCCCCUUGUAUUCUAUUAGAAUAAUAUAGUUAUUUGGUUUUUUGAAAAAUUUGCUUCGCCUCGUGCUUCUUGUAAAUAAAUAGUAUCUCAAGAGACUAUAAUUUGAACUAAAUUAGAAUUAGUCCUAUUUUUUACUAAUUUAAAUUUGAUUGGAGUUCUUCAACUUUUGAUUGAAAUUUGGAAGAUCUAGAGGAAUUUUCGACUUUUUAAACUUGGUCAAUAACUAUACAAAAUCCUCAUUCAUUGUAGAUUGAAAAAAAAAGUGGUAUUUUUACCAAUUGCUGCUUCAUCAUGCCUUGAUGUUUGUCACUUUCAAGCUAAUUCUUGUAUAGGAGGUCUUCAUUCAAUAAUUAGCUAAUCAACUGGUUCAUUGUUUCAGUUGACCAGAUGGUGAUCAAAUUUAUGGAGUUUUGACAAUCAGCUGCUAGGUGCUUUGAGAAAACUCCCAUUUCAUCAGCAUCUUUCUUUGCAAAAUGUGAGAAAAAUUAUUUCGGAAAAUGAUAAUCAUCAGCUACUCUUGAUUGCUCGGGAACAAGGUUACCAACUUAUCAAGGGAUCAUCAGCUCAAACUUCUGUUGAUGUAAGCAGUUUUGAUAUACCUCUCCAGGAAGAUAACAAUUUUUUGGCAAAUCACCAGAAUGCCCACUAAGGCUCUUCACAUCACUACCAGGAAGUCGCCUUUUGGUUAUGGUUUUCACCAUAAGUCUAAUAAUAUGCUUCUCUUAACAUGUGAAUAUCCUUAAUGCUUGGCAAAAUGAUGCCGGAAUGCACAAAUUUUUGGAGCUAUGGUUUCUAUUGUUUUUAAUGGAUGUGUAGUAUAGGUUGGUUUAUCAAUUACUUGGGACUGGUUAUUGGUAUUUAAUUGCGUAGAUUUGUCAUCCGUAAUGCAAUAUUUUGACACGUUAACAUUA